UACGUAGGGGGCAAGCGUUGUCCGGAUUCAUUGGGCGUAAAGAGCGUGUAGGCGGCCAGGUAGGUCGGUUGUGAAAACUGGAGGCUCAACCUUCAGAGGUCGACCGAAACCAUCUGGCUAGAGUCCGGGAGAGGAGAGUGGAAUUCCUGGUGUAGCGGUGAAAUGCGCAGAUAUCAGGAGGAACACCGACGGCGAAGGCAGCUUACUGGGCCGAUACUGACGCUGAGGAGCGAAAGCGUGGGGAGCGAACAGG
This 253-nucleotide ribosomal RNA is filed under the name uncultured bacterium. RNAcentral describes it as "partial 16S ribosomal RNA". It matches the Rfam family "Bacterial small subunit ribosomal RNA", at positions 524 to 776 of the family's 1533-position model. The record is from RNAcentral.